GACGAACGCUGGCGGCGUGCCUAACACAUGCAAGUCGAACGGGGUGAUUUCCUUCGGGAGAUCACUUAGUGGCGAACGGGUGAGUAACGCGUGAGAAACCUGCCUUUCAGUGGGGGACAACAGUUGGAAACGACUGCUAAUACCGCAUGAUGUAGCGAGGGGGCAUCCUCUUGCUACCAAAGCUUAAUGUGCUGAAAGAUGGUCUCGCGUCUGAUUAGCUAGUUGGUGAGGUAACGGCCCACCAAGGCGACGAUCAGUAGCCGGUCUGAGAGGAUGAACGGCCACAUUGGGACUGAGAUACGGCCCAGACUCCUACGGGAGGCAGCAGUGGGGAAUAUUGGGCAAUGGGCGCAAGCCUGACCCAGCAAUGCCGCGUGAAGGAAGAAGGCUUUCGGGUUGUAAACUCUUUGUCAGGGACGAGUAGAAGACGGUACCUGACGAAUAAGCCACGGCUAACUAACGUG
This 464-nucleotide ribosomal RNA is filed under the name uncultured bacterium. Its description in RNAcentral is "bacterial SSU rRNA". It matches the Rfam family "Bacterial small subunit ribosomal RNA", at positions 28 to 507 of the family's 1533-position model. The record is from RNAcentral.